CGCGUAGGCGGCAAGGUAAGUCAGAUGUGAAAUUCCGGGGCUCAACCCCGGAGCUGCAUUUGAAACUGCUUCGCUAGAGCGUAGUUAGGGAAAACGGAAUUCCACGUGUAGCUGUGAAAUGCGUAGAUAUGUGGAAGAACACCGGUGGUGAAGACGGUUUUCUGAGCUAUUGCUGACGCUGAGGCGCGAAAGCUAGGGGAGCAAACA
RNAcentral lists this ribosomal RNA (207 nucleotides) under uncultured bacterium. RNAcentral's name for it is "partial 16S ribosomal RNA". It matches the Rfam family "Bacterial small subunit ribosomal RNA", at positions 568 to 774 of the family's 1533-position model. The record is from RNAcentral.